GGGAGGGAGGGGGUGUUUUUAACUAGAGAUGGGCCAAAACUGGAACCCAGGGUCUGAACUCGGAGGGACUGUUUGGGGUUCGGGUAACUGGGACCUGGAACCAAAUCGCCUGUGGCUUUGUUAAACUACAACCCACCUUCCCGUGAGCUUGCAAGACCAGCCCCGGCUCCAUCCAGCGCUGGCGUGGCGGGGGUGUGGGCUCACGGGCCGGCCUGAGUUCUUGUUGCUUGUUUGUUGGUAGUUUCUCUAUUUUUAAAACAGGAAAAAAAAAAUCCAGUCGCCCGGCUCAGAACGAGGCGCCCAGAGAGGAAUGUGGUGUCGCUGGGCGCGUUGGCGACGCUCUGGGGGUUCAGUGGUCGUACUCUCCUGCGUCACUGGGCGCUUCCCCUGCUGGAAAGGGCCCCCGCACAUGGCAACGGGGCGAGAGAACACUUCACCCCAGGCCCAUAGGACUGUAAGGCUGCUGGAACUGUUGGGGGGGCAGGUGUAGGACUCGAAAUGACUCUGAACUCAAAUUGACUAGAUUUCGGAUUGAUUGUGUUGCUUUAGAUUAACCCCCCAGCCCUGCAAACCCACUUCAUUUCCAGCCCCAAUGGCAGGAACUGCCCUACAAGAGAUCAACUUCAUGUUCUUUAUUUUUCCUUUGUUUCCUCCUAAAGCACUUAAUCCAUUUGUGGGGUCUGCCCAGUCAGAAGAGCUGUUCUGUUCUGUGAUUGUCGCUUCUGUUCCUUUUUUCUGUUGUUUUGGUUUCCUUUCUCUCCCUCCCCUGCCCCCUUCCCGUUUGGCUGUAGGUUUAGGCCAGUGUUGUGUAGAGCCUUUGUGGGUAUUUGGUAGGUUUCUCCCCAGCCACAACUGUUUCUGUUUUUUUUUUCUUUCAUUUUUUGUAUUUUUUUUUUUUUACGAUUUUCAGGUCUUUGUGUUCGAGAAGCUAUUAUAUUUUGUUAAGAAAGCGAAAAAAAAGAGGCUUGUGCCUUUGUAAAGAAACAAAAUAAAGUUUGUACUUUGUUUUUUAGAA
Non-coding RNA from Pelodiscus sinensis (Chinese soft-shelled turtle), 1015 nucleotides. The record is from RefSeq and is a predicted model, not a curated record. NCBI's taxonomy places the organism in Eukaryota, Metazoa, Chordata, Testudines, Trionychidae.